GACGAACGCUGGCGGCGUGCUUAACACAUGCAAGUCGAACGGAAAGGCCCUUCGGGGUACUCGAGUGGCGAACGGGUGAGUAACACGUGGGUGAUCUGCCCUGCACUUUGGGAUAAGCCUGGGAAACUGGGUCUAAUACCGAAUAGGACCACGCGCUUCAUGGUGUGUGGUGGAAAGCUUUUGCGGUGUGGGAUGGGCCCGCGGCCUAUCAGCUUGUUGGUGGGGUAAUGGCCUACCAAGGCGACGACGGGUAGCCGGCCUGAGAGGGUGACCGGCCACAGGGGGAUUGAGAUAGGGCCAAGACGCGUGGGGGGGCAGCGGGGGGAAAUAUGGCACAGGGGGAGAAAGCCUGAGGAAGCGGCGCCGGGGGGGGAAGGACGGCUUUGGGGUUGAAAACCUCUUAAAAAGGGGACGAGGCGAAGGGGACGGUACCUAAAGAAGAAGCCCCGGCCAACUACGGG
RNAcentral lists this ribosomal RNA (461 nucleotides) under uncultured bacterium. Its description in RNAcentral is "partial 16S ribosomal RNA". It matches the Rfam family "Bacterial small subunit ribosomal RNA", at positions 28 to 507 of the family's 1533-position model. The record is from RNAcentral.